Molecule: ribosomal RNA, 391 nt
Filed under: Hepatozoon sp.
Lineage: Eukaryota; Apicomplexa; Hepatozoidae
Description: bacterial SSU rRNA
Rfam family: Eukaryotic small subunit ribosomal RNA
Source: RNAcentral
GCUAAAAAUAACCGGUCUGCUUUUAUUAUUAAAAGUGGUAUCUUGGUGUGUUUUUAGCAAUAAUGUCCUUUGAAAUGUUUUUUACUUUAUUGUGAGAAGCAAUUUUCAGGAUUUUUACUUUGAGAAAAUUAGAGUGUUUCAAGCAGGCUAACGUUUUGAAUACUGCAGCAUGGAAUAAUAAAAUAGGAUUUUAGUUCUACGUUAUUGGUUUUAAGAACUAAAUUAAUGAUUGAUAGGAGCAGUUGGGGGCAUUUGUAUUUAACUGUCAGAGGUGAAAUUCUUAGAUUUGUUAAAGACACACUACUGCGAAAGCAUUUGCCAAAGAUGUUUUCAUUAAUCAAGAACGAAAGUUAGGGGAUCGAAGACGAUCAGAUACCGUCGUAGUCCUACC